This 459-nucleotide ribosomal RNA is filed under the name uncultured bacterium. RNAcentral describes it as "partial 16S ribosomal RNA". It matches the Rfam family "Bacterial small subunit ribosomal RNA", at positions 338 to 795 of the family's 1533-position model. The record is from RNAcentral.
CCUACGGGAGGCAGCAGUGAGGAAUAUUGGUCAAUGGUCGGGAGACUGAACCAGCCAAGCCGCGUGAGGGAUGAAGGUACAGAGUAUCGUAAACCUCUUUUGUCAGGGAACAAAGGCGGGGACGCGUCCCCGGAUUAGUGUACCUGAAGAAAAAGCAUCGGCUAACUCCGUGCCAGCAGCCGCGGUAAUACGGAGGAUGCGAGCGUUAUCCGGAUUUAUUGGGUUUAAAGGGGGCGCAGGCGGCCGGUUAAGUCAGCGGUCAAAGCCCGGGGCUCAACCCCGGCCCGCCGUUGAAACUGGCAGUCUGGAGUGGGAGAGAAGUAUGCGGAAUGCGCGGUGUAGCGGUGAAAUGCAUAGAUAGCGCGCAGAACUCCGAUUGCGAAGGCAGCAUGCCGGCUCCACACUGACGCUGAGGCACGAAAGCGUGGGUAUCGAACAGGAUUAGAUACCCUAGUAGUC